Non-coding RNA from Melospiza melodia melodia, 432 nucleotides. NCBI's taxonomy places the organism in Eukaryota, Metazoa, Chordata, Aves, Passeriformes, Passerellidae. The record is from the annotation of a RefSeq genome assembly.
CGGGCGGCCGUGACCCUGCUGGAGUGCGGGGGGGACCUCCAGCCCCCCGGGGGGUCCCUGCGCCUCCUCUGCCGAGGGUCCGGGUUCAGUUUUGGGAAUUAUGGAAUGCACUGGGUGCGCCAGAGACCCGGGCAGGUCCUGGAAUGGGUCGCGGGCAUUGACAGCAAUGGAUACACCAGAUACCCGUCUGCGUUCAGGGGCCGGGUCACGAUCUCCAGGGACAACGGGCAGAGCUCGGUGACGCUGACCAUGAACAACCUCAAGGACGAGGAUUCCGGAUCCUAUUUCUGUGCCAAGGAUGCUGAUGCUGCUGCUGCCCUUGACCCCAUUCUUGACCGUUUGUCCAAAAUCCCCCCCAUUUCCACCCAUGGCGACCAAAGGCCCCAAACCCCGACUGGUUCUGCCCCAAACCCAACUGAAUUGGUGCCAUAA